GGCAGCCCAACACAAGUGGCGUCCUGUGUCUAUGUCACCAUGGCCUGGAUUCCGGUCCUCUUCAUGCUCCUCUCCCAGUAUACAGGUUCCCUGUCCCAGCCAGUGCUGACUCAGCCAUCAUCCCUCUCUGUCUCUCUCAGAAAAACAGCCAGACUCACCUGCACCCUGAGCAGUGGCUUCAGUGUCAGGAGUUAUAACAUAUACUGGUACCAGCAGAAGCCAGGGAGCCCUCCCAGGUAUCUCCUGUGGUUCUACUCAGACUCAGAUAAGCACCAGGGCUCGGGGGUCCCCAGCCGCUUCUCUGGCUCCAAAGAUGCCAAUGCAGGGCUUCUGCUCAUCUCUGGGUUCCAUCCUGAGGACGAGGCUGACUAUUACUGUGCUGUGUACCAUACCAGUGGCAGCAGCCAUUAUUACUCACAAUGUCUCAGACAACAAGGAAGUGAGACAAAAAACCAGAGAUCUUGCCUCUGAGCCUCUUUAAUUGAGAAGCCUCUCUGGAGGCUCCUGUAGGGUAUAGUACUCUGUGGGAAGACCUGUCCUUGAGGAGGAGGGAGUGACACACUGAUUGUGCUGUUGCCUGAGACAGCACAGGUGCCCCAGUAAUGUAGGAAAGAACAUUACCGCUCGAAGCCAAUGACAAUGAAAGAAAUCUUCUUUGGUGCAACAAACAUGGUUUUAUUAAAACACAGGGACAGGACCCAUGAGCAGAAAAGCUGCAGUGGAGACAAACAGAGUGACCCAUUAUAUAUUUUCAACUUGGGAGGGGUUUAGGGAUAGUGUAAGUCUCUAAAUAAUUUUGGAAGUUUUCCAGGACCUUGAGGGGGCUAGCUAUUGUUAGGAAAAUGUGAUUUAUUACUCUCUAAUAAACCCUUAGACAUGAGACCCAUCAGAUAUAUAUCGGUGGACCAUAUGCUUGGGGGAUGAUUGCCAACACAUAUCUUGGGGGUUUUAAAGAUAAACGUAAUUUCUUAAGCACUAUUUAUAAGUUAAAAUAGACUGACAGGAU
Molecule: non-coding RNA, 1006 nt
Organism: Mustela erminea (ermine)
Lineage: Eukaryota; Metazoa; Chordata; Mammalia; Carnivora; Mustelidae
Source: the annotation of a RefSeq genome assembly